Molecule: long non-coding RNA, 10142 nt
Organism: Cuculus canorus (common cuckoo)
Lineage: Eukaryota; Metazoa; Chordata; Aves; Cuculiformes; Cuculidae
Exons: 3
Source: RefSeq, a predicted model, not a curated record
CCUAUACAGUGCUUAAGCACAUUACACAAACCAUGUAGUGAUGUUGCAGACUUUCUAUUUUUAUUUAAGAAGGUUCCUGAGGACGUAUGCAUGGGUUUUCCUCGUUUUUCAGAUCCAGGUAAGAAUAUUAAAUGGUUAUUCUUUUGCUAGUAUAUGAUCAAAGAGUCUCUUACAGCGGUGUGAUCCUGGAUCAUGUAUUCAGAGUUUCAUGGAGGCUGUUGCUCUACUGGCUCACAUAAAGGUAACUGGUUAAAGUAUCUUCUUACUCCCCACACACCUCAGAAGAAAUGGCUUUUGCUUGCUCUUCCCUUGUUUCGGGAUAGUACGUGCUUUAGGAGAUAUUUGUGCAUGUCAAUUAGGGACCAACACAGUGAGAUACUACCAUGUGCUUCUGCAGAUGAGCUGCAGAGCUUAUAUGUGUUUAACUGAUAUGUCUAUUAAGACCCAGCAAUGUGUCAAUUCUUUUGGUUUUGUUUAAAAGUUCCUCAUCAGUACUAAAUGACUUUUACAAUCUAUAGCAUGAACAAAAAUGUAAUUUUUAUGUUAAAAUUCUCAAGAUCUUUGGGAUCUUCAAGAAGAAAGGGCGGUCUCCUCCAUAAUCACCGCUGAAGAUUACAUAUGGGAACAAAUGUUGAAGCUGGGAACUGCGUGAGCUCUUGGAGGUGAUAUACGGUAGAAAGUCCUUUAAAGCACAAGCACUUUGCUAUAGCUGUGAAAUUAAUGAUUUUGUUUAAACUAGAGCUUCGAUCCUAUGUGUUGGUUGUCCCUAUGCAUUGAUUCCCUUAUUUCUUUGUGAAGAUUUGCUUGCUUCUGUUCAGUCUGCAAUUCAUCUGUCUUUACAGAAAGCAUUAAGCCAGGAACCUACAGCUUCUGGUGUCAGGAUGGUAAUCCAGAGAAAGAAAAGGCCUUUAAGUUGUUCAGGAUGUCUUCCCCAAAUGUCCUUGAAAUACAAUUUCUUUCUCCCUUUGGGGCAUUAGGAGUCACCUGUAGUGAACUGGGACAAUGUACGCCUUGAGGUAUGUUAGUGUGAACUGUUCCAUGAGCAACUGCUGCAAUGAUCAUAAUGCGUAAGUCACAAUAAGAAAAAAAUUAUAGUCGUUUGGGAGAAGUGAACAUAUUUCCAAUAAUUUUGCUUAAUGACUGUGCCCUUUUCUGCGUAACACUGCACAUUUUGAUGAAAUAGCAAGGUUUUGCCACAAGGCACCUUUUGUAAGCAGUAAACAAAAGAGCAUUGAUGGAAAUGAAUUACCAGACAGGAUGCUGACCUCAGAGCAAAACCCCUGCAAGUAGGAGGUAGGACAUGGGCUGCUACUCUGCAUUGUCAGAUCACUACAGAAAGCAGGUAUGUAGAUGAGGAUGUUCUCUCAGAAGACGUUGGAAAACAAGAGGCAGAAGUAUUCUAGAGGAUUAGGAGCAAUUGUCAUAGCUAUACGAGUGCAUGCAACAUAGCUAUGAGUCUCAAGAGAGUCCAACCCAUCUGUUGUAGAUGUGCAGCAGUCAGGAAGAUGAUAGGUAGCAUAUGAACCAGGCCUUGCAAUAUGUCCCUGUGGAUGUUAAUGACAAACCAAUCCAAAUCUCUUGAGUUUCAGGAUAUGUUUUUCUUUUGCCUAAUUUCAAGUGAAAAAGAGAAUUCUGAUGCAAAAUGCAUGUUAUAAAAUUUUAAUUAAGUAAGCCCCGAUAGGAAACAUUUACUUGUAGUAUUUUUCUUUGUUGAUAAAGUGUGCUGCCCAGUUCAGACUGUGAUCUUAAGGCAGUGGCAUCUCAACACACUGUGUGAGACAGAUCCAUUCCCCAAGGGAGCUUUCACCUGAAGAGCAAAACAGUAGAGCAGAAACAGAAAAAGCGAAAUUACUUACACAAGGUCAUGAAGGUCUGCAGUAAAGCCAGGAGUGGAGUUCAGAUAUUGUAAUUCAUGGAACAGCUCUGAACCACAGGAUGCGCUGACCUCCAGUAGCAUUUGGAAGCACAAAGCAGCAAAUUCCAGAGAGAGAAUCAUAAAGUGAAGAAACAGAGAACCUGAAGCUAAUACUGAGAGGCAAUCUGGGGCUACUGGAUGUGAGAAUGGGCUGCCCAUGCGAGGCAACAUACAGUAAAGCCAAAUGGAGGUGAAUCCCUUGGAAAGAAUAUCUCCUCUCUAGGCUGAUAAUUAUAGCUCAUGAACAAGGUGUCUUCACUUCAAAUAUCUUUCUAGACUGAAGUCUUUCAGUUUCUCAUAAAAAUAAUGGAUCGUGGAAACUAAGGAGUAGAUGUAUGACUAGCUCUGAGAUGACUAAACAGUGGGAGUUACAGCAUGAUAUGAGGUACUGGUACUGGCCUCAGCAAGAAGGAACAAAAACGAGUGGGCCACAUUGUUUGCACCGUGUUGUAUUUUCUUUUAUUUUGAUUUGGUUUGUUUGUUUGUUUUUACCGGGAAGAGUCUCAGCUGCUCACCUUACUAUCGCAUGAGCUGGUACACCCAUCACCCACAGAUGAUCUUUUUGUCCUGCUGCAGUAAGCGCUGGCAUUAUACAAGGAACUCUGAGGGACAUGUGCAAGGGGUGAAGAAAGGUGGGUGGGAGUAUAAAACAUGUUGUAUUGUUCGCAUUUUGUGUGUCAUAUUUAUUUAGCACAACACCAUGCCGGGAAUACAGUAUUAGCAGCAAUAAUUAAUAAUCCUUCAUAAUUCAACAGAAAGAGAAAGGGAAGAGUAAAACCAAAGCGAAUUCCAUCCCAACUGCCUCAUGCAACUGAUGGUUUUUUCUUUGAGGCUAUUUUUGAUUUAACCUUUAGGUGAACAUCUUUUCUGGAUAUGAUUGUAUAUGUUUUCUUGUCUGCAUUCCUUCCAUUUAUAUCUCUACUAUGCACCUUUAAAAGCAUGUUGGCCCAAUUAAUCACUGCUGCUCAUCUUCAUGCAUUUCAGUCUUCUUAGAUGUCCAUAGCAUCUAAGUAUGAAGAGAAAGAAGGAAAAGCCCUUAUGAAAAAUUGCCAGCAAAGCAGCAUGUUACGAAAAUAAAGCUGGAGUCCCUAGACCUUUGUGUUUUGAAAAUCAAAUGAGUCAAAAGAAUACAGUAUGACCAUAUCCAGUAGGGGCAAGAUGGCCAAACAUUUGCCUGUGGGUGGUGGCAUCUGGGGAGGACAAACCAGAUGUGUGUUUUGGUUAGAGCAAAAUCUUCAGGAACCAGCUCCCUUCUUGAUUGGAAAAGGGAACUGCAGUCUCUGGAGUCUUUGUGAUCUGAGCUGAGAACCAAGGGCUGCAACAGGUGCUGGUGGUGUGUUGCACUGUCAGAGGUGGCUGUGGGGACCACCUGUGGUUCCUUCACAUCUGCAAUAAACAGAUUUGUCUGUAAAAUAUAUGCACUUAGCCUACAUUUUUUUCCUUCUGUAUGGUAUGUUAGGGAAGCAGUUUUCAACUGGCAAGGUCUGCCCCUGUUGAGGCACUACCUGCUGAACAAGCAAUGAGCCUUGGAGUGUAAUGAGGUUCAGAAUGACUCUGGUUUGAUUGCAGUGAGGCCUGGCCUAGAUCAUUGUAGCCUUUCAGCCCCCAGUUUGCCCUGUGCUCAUACCAAGGCACAGUAAGUAUGCGGUCAAGGGAUUCUGCAAAGGGUGGAUGAAGUGGAGGAGCUUGACAGUUGUCAUAAAGUACUAGCUAGGAUUGCCUUUCUUCCUCCCCUCCACAGCUAUAAAACAACUUCUCUAAGAGCAAUCAUGGGAUUUGAAUUUCAUUACUGCUGAUACAUUUUGUAAUAGCUCCCGACACUACUUUCUCAACUGAUAAUUUAGUUAAGCUCUCUGCUGCACAUGCUAAUGCUUCUGUGUGGAGGCAGUGGAAAAUUACUUAAUAAAACUUAACGCUGCUUUCAUUUCAUGGCUGUUAUUAUCAAAUAUUAGUCAUUGCUGAGAAUCAUUCCUUGAACAGUUCUUUCUUAUCAUCUAUAUGCAUUUGGCUAUCACCUCUUAGAAAUGCAGCAGCAUCUUGGGUGGUAAAUGAAGGCAGCUUUCAUUUUUGUCAGCUGUGCAUCUUGAAAGCAACUGUGAUCUUAAGCAGGAGUUAUUGUUAUUUCUGUGGUGGUUCAGCACAAAAAAAUGAAAUUUUAGUUGAAGUCUGAAUAUUUUAUGAGUGUUUCUGUUAUCAGUUAAGCUCAUAUCCCACUAAAAAGUUCCAUGCUUAAUUCAGUUAGUUAAGUUAAGAAACAAAGAAAAUUUCUCAUGCUGUUGCGUCUGCUUCCUAGUCUAUAUGAAUUUAUGAGAGCUAGGAAGAAAAGACUGAGAUCUUGCAAAGCUUUCUAUAUGUGUGUGUAUAUACAGAUACUGACUCCAGUUCUUCUGCCUGUUUAUUUGAACAAAACUUCAUGUAUAAGCAUUCAAAAUAUUUUCAAGACCAAUAACAUUUCCAUUGUGGCUUGAAAAGCCCAAGAAGUGUUUGUUUUCUCCUUAUAUUCAUUGGGUAAUGAAGAUAUCUAUUAUUAAUGUUACUUUAGUGAAAAAUCAAUGCAUUUCCGAUUCUGGUGCUCGAUUGAAAAGGAUUUGCCUGUCUGGUACAGCCAUGCUCUUCUCUCAGGGUAGAAAAACACUGUUUUGUGUUGGAAUCUAUGACAACAGCAACCCUCAAAUGAUUUCUGAUACUGGGGAUAUGUCCUGCAUUGCCAUGUUUUUUCCUUUCAUUCUGAAGGCUACAUUUUCCAGUCAGACAAAAUCAAAUUGCUCUAUGCUUGAUGUUGAGAUGCGUAUAUUCCACCUAAAUCGCACCCAGCAGGCAGCACUACAUAUAUUAUUUCUUUUCUACAGCUUGGAUAAAUUCUAAGCUGUUUUGAACCUGCUGUGGCCUGAUCUGUGCUGUCAACUGUAUUUUGCAUGGCUUUGGCUGUACCAACACUAGCUCACCAGGAGAGAUAAGGAGUUCUGGAAUACAACGGUCUCCAGGAACAUAUGGAGCAUCAGGAACAGGCACAUUCCAUUUAAAUGUGUUGGCUGGGACCAUGCUUACAGUCUCAUGCAUCAGGAUGGCAGUCUUAAAGGAGGAAGUGCCAUCCGCCCUUUGUUUGUAUUAUUUUAUACUCACUUCUUAAUGACAGUUAAUCCCAUUUGUGCUCUUCUACAAAAUCUGUGCUGCUUUGGGGCUUCCUGAGGAAUUGUUUAUUGUAGUGGUGCUCUGCCACUUUGGAUAGCCAGCCAAGCCUGACCCUACCGUAGCUUUUUGUUACACUUCCCCUCAGAUGCACCACCAACACAAACAUGGAAACCCCUCAUUUGCUUUCCAUUUUGUGGGCGUCUUCAGUAAACUCUCACUAAAGGUGACUGGGAAAAACGUUUUCUCACCCUCAUAGUACCCAUUGUUCCUCUGCAUAAAGGAGAAUCUUCUCAAUGUAAACGAGGAGUCUCUGAACAUUCAGUGGACUUUCUGAGAAGUUAACAAACUUAAUUAGAAAUGAGAUCUUCUCUCAUUAUUUCCAAGGUCAUCCCCACUCAGACUACUUAAACAAGAAUUAUUUGCUAAAUGACAAAAGAGCUUCCACAGGAACAUGACUGACUCCUAAGCCAGGAUUUUCUUCAUUGAGCAGAAACUGGUCCUCCCCAAACUUUUCAUGCACGUUAUAAGAAGUAUUGCCGCUUCAUAAGCCAGCUAGCAAAAAUGAUGUUGUAAGAAAAUCAAAUCUCUAUCACUCAAUUUCAGCUAAUUUCUAUUUGGAGUAAGACAUGUGGGAAGAGGUAAUACCUUUUAUUGUCACAUUUAGAAAGAACAGGCAAGCGUCUGAGUGCACAAGCAUUUCUCAGGGGAUAAUGUAACUUCUAGGACAGCUGUGUCUAUCUGUAAGCUGAUUUCUCAGGUUGCGCUGGUUUCCAUGCUCCAGAUCUUGCUUCUCCCCCCGUGCUGUGCAGGGCUCCAAGUGCCUGUUAGCUUGCACACUGGAGAUCCCUCCUUCCCAGCAGGCAGUCAAUAUAUCUUGUGAUGGUGUGGGAUCCGUUGGGAUACAUGGAGAUCUCUGAAUGUGAAAUGUGAUUAUUGCAGCUUUGUUUUAAAGGUCAGCCUGCCAUAUUCGCACAACAGGGUUGAGAAGGACUGUAUGCCUCAGAUAAUUUAUGUGGACCAGGAUUGUGUCCAAAUAUUAAUAGUGCUGAUUAAAUAAAGCUGGGGAAAAUAUUCUGUUUCUGCAAAUAUUGAACCUCCUGUUUUAUUUAUAAUCCUACAAUAAAAAGAAAAUUUAGCGGUAAAGAUGGGCACAUCUUCAAUGUUAUAGAUCUAUGGGAAUUUUUAACAAUUUCAAAGCAAAACCUCACGCUGGAGGACUCGGACAUCUGUAGAGAUAAGGUCAGCCUGCCUUUUCUGAACAAUGAAGCACAGACAAAAAUAACCUUAAGAUUUAUAAUUCGGGCAGUGGAACUAUAACCCAUAGCAAAUCAACAGCAAAGCCAUUUGAAUGAUUUGGUUUCUUCAAAUACUAAAAGCAUUCACAUUUUUUUUUGAGGGGAGGAGGAGGGAGGAUCCUCAUAGAGGGUUUAAAAACAUGAGAGGGUUAAGAAGCACCAUGUGGGAUUUUCAAGGGAGCUGUGGGAACUUAUAUGCCUCAGAAAUACGUAUUCAACAAUGAGUAUCAGGGUCAGAUGAUUUAUACAGGCCCCAAAUCCCAUUAAUGCAGGCAUUAAAUAUUACAAAAUUCCCAUUGUAGAUCAUCAAACUACAAGAACACUGGUUGAUAAUCAACAGACCUUAAAGAAAGGGGAGAGAUUAAACUCUUCCAUCACUAACUAGCACAUCUGUAGCAAAUCCAUAGGAAGGAAAAAAAGAGAGGGGGAAGUUAAACAUUUUUAUCAACUUGUACUUGUUCCCCAUUUAUUACUGAGCAUGUGAAGGGUGAGUAUCAGUAUCACAGCUGGAAGCAGGGGGAAAUGACAAAGCAAAGAGCAACCUUUUGCACUUUUUGAAAUGGAUCUGAGGCUUGUCAGGAAACUCGGCACGUGCCUGGUGGUGCAGCAUGUUCCAUGUAGCCCCACAGUACUCAAACAGAGAGCCAAUGGGUCAGACUCUCAGAGACUCUGAGAUCUCUACUUAUUUUGAGGUCUGUCAGUGUUCCAGCAGAGGAUUUUAUCUUUUCUGAAUUGUUUUGUACCAUGCAUCCUCAACAACAUCCAUCUCUCGGAGGCGGAACCAGAGUCAAUACUGCCAGCUCUUCUGUUUGUUACUCUGCAUGCCACAGGGCAGCGUGGGGGGGUGAGCGGGGUACCUGUCACUCUGUGAGGGGUGAACCGCGAGAGAAUACUUCACCUGUCCCCAGGUUCCUCCCACAUGAAUGCCUCACUCCUACCGCUGGCUCCCUGGAGCUGCUGCCAUCAUCUGAGCUUAGUGGUCUUUUCUAACACCUGGAGGUAUGUUUGCCGCUAGACUCAGUUGUUCAGGUCCAUACAGCAAGAGACAAAAGGCUGUCAGGAGUGGAAGGGAAAAAGGAUAUGAAUGGAUUGCUGAACGUCAAGAGUGGAUGCAGACAAGGAUCCUUGCUCGUGCAGGUAAUUGCUGCAGAGGCUUGAGCUCUGCCGUGUGCUUCCUGAGAAUGGAGGAGGUUCCCCUGAGACAGAGAAGAUUAAGUGAGGACUUGUGCAACAGCCCCAAAUGUAAUUUAAUUAAUUUGUCCUCUUAUAAAAUCCACUACAACUCAUUUGGUUCUUGGUAUUUAUUCAUAGACACAAUCUUUAAUGCUGUAAUAAUGUUACCUUUCUUGCUUACAAUGAAGCCUCUCUUCAUUAGAACUUCAUCGUUUGUUUGCUUCUUUCACUAAGCAUCCUCUCAUAAGUAGGGCAGCAUAUUGCAAAGUAUUCUUUUAAAUAACUAAACCUAUAGCCAUCUCAAUAAAUGAACUAGGAAUGCUUUAUGGUGCAAAUCCUUGUUUUUAUUGUGUUUUUCCAAUUACUUUGUAAUUCACAAGGUUCAGUAGCUCACAAUGGAUCUCCCAGCCAUUACUGCAAAUCUGCACAGUUCUGCUCUUGGUAAAAUCACAGGAUAGAAAACUCCAGCAAGAAAAGUAGCUAUUUCACUUCCAAACCUUACUUCCCCUUUACUUUCUCCUGCCUAUCUGAAAGCUCGGAAUGCUCUUUGUUCUGUCCUGACUACGAGGAAUGAGUUUUUGCCUACUGCUGUUGGAUACUUCAGAGAGCUUGACAGAAAAUCGAAGUGAGAUGGGGCUUGAAAUGCCUUCUUUCUGAUCUCCGAGAGUCUUUUUCAGCUAUUAGGAGGAACAGCCCAGCAGCCUCUUGCGGGUCUUCAAGAAACAGCUGCCUUUAGCGCUGCUGUCUCCAGUGAGAGAGGAGCCUUCCAUCCUUGCAUCUGUACUGUGCUGUAUUUAUCAGAAGGAAGCUCGGAUUGCUUGAAUACUUUCUGGGAAAUUGUGAACAUCUGGGAGAAAUAAGAAGCCUGUUAUUUUUUUUUCUUCCCAUCUUUUUUUUUUCUCUAGGCUCUCUAUUGCUUCUCUUCUUCUCUUUUUCUCCUUCUCUCUUUCCAUUACCCUUCUCUGAGCUGUGUGCUGAGAACACGCUGAGCAAUCCUCCUGCUACUCCUGCACUGUUACCACAACAAGAAGUAGCCUUGUGGUGAGAUAAUGAGGGGCCGUUUUAUUUGCCUGAGGUAGAUAACCACAGUGCAGCAACGAAGGAAAAGUUCAUUUGGAGGAACAAACAGUAAAUGACAACUUGUCCAAACCCUCUCAGGCUUGCUUUUCCUAAAGAAAAAGAGAUGAACUGCCACGAGAUCUCUUUCUAUACCCCAAAUGGAGUGGACUUUCAAGAGUUUAGGUCCAAGGUAUAGAUAUGGACUUCGAUUGUCUAGAUGCGAUGUGUGUCUGUCCACCCCUCCUAAUAGCUUCUAACACUGUCAGCCUGUUUCAACAAUAUCCAACGGAGAGGAGUAGGUGCUCCAAGGCAUUAUUCCUUUAAGAUUCACAACAAUAGAUAGACAGUGAAAUCCCUCCUUCUGCCUAAGCGAGGAAAAGGUGGCGCAGAACCAGUUCUCACUUGGUGCUGGAGAAUCCAGGUAGACUUCAUCAGUGUCCCAGGCACAGGCAAAGCUGUUAAUGAAGUUAGUGCCUUCCCAGACCUUAGGGAAUUUGGUAAAGAUCCACAUGUGGAUGUCAGGUCUGCUUCUCAUUCUAGUUAUUAUGCAGAUUUCAAAAACACUGUGUGAUGUGGAAGUGAAAUAAAUGCAACUUCUCCAGAGGCUUUACGGGCCUCCACAGGAGAUCCGUGGAAGUAAUGGAUAGGAAAAGGUGGGUGAGCUCAUUAGUAAGAAGAGACACUUUGAACAGGAGUGAGGGCGGCGACAAGGGAAGCACUGGAAUAUGGCAAUGGAACAUUUAACACUGAUAAGAAAAGAACAUUUGUCAAUGGGUGAAAGUGAAAAUGGCUCAAAGCAGGGGUCUGAGCUGCAGCAGUGUAAUUAGGUAAUUAGUUCCAACGCAGUGGUCAGGCAAUACCAUUUUAUUUCAUAGGAAAUGCUGAUGUCUGUUCCCACCCUGAGCUGGAAGGAAUAGGCCCAAAACUAAAAUGCAGGAGAGGGAAAGUCCCUAUCAGACCUCCACAUGGAUGGAACAGUUUGGAUGCACUGUGCUGGAAACUGCACUAGAAGUCAGGAAGGAGAUGCCAGAGGAAAACGGGAAUAUUUUUUUCUCUUUCUGUUUUGUUGCUACAUUUUUCAGAAAGAAUCAGGGGGAAAGGCAGAGCAGAAGAUCUGCAGAGGAAGCGGGAAAAACAUUUGUUGUUUCCAAAACUUAAAAAUUAUGAGAUGAAAACUGACCUAAUUUACCUGCUUGCGUCUUGUCAGGUCUGGAGUUCGCAAAGUCUUGUCUAAGAGAGUGGUUCUGACUUAGCUUUUUCUAGUCCUGUUCACUAAAAAAGAGUAAACAUUUAUGGACUCAGUCUGGAAACUUGGCUGGAAAUUGCUGAUGAACCAGAAUAAAAAUGGGGGAAGCUGAGUAAACAUAAAACAACUGUGUUAAAUGCCUGACUCUGAAGGGCCAUAAAAUUUAUUUUGGAAAGUCCAGCUGUAAGUUUAAGCAUCAGGGUAGCUUUAAGGAACUCAGCUUAUUUUACAGCUGUAUUAAAGCAGCCUUGAAAAAAGACAGAAGGAUUGCUCAAAUUGCUAAAAACCUCGGACAUAACCCACUAUCACCUAUGCCAUCAAC